RNAcentral lists this ribosomal RNA (292 nucleotides) under uncultured bacterium. RNAcentral's name for it is "partial 16S ribosomal RNA". It matches the Rfam family "Bacterial small subunit ribosomal RNA", at positions 505 to 796 of the family's 1533-position model. The record is from RNAcentral.
GUGUCAGCAGCCGCGGUAAUACGUAGGGUCCGAGCGUUGUCCGGAGUUACUGGGCGUAAAGCGCGCGCAGGCGGUCCCGCGCGCCCGGCGUGAAAGCCCCCGGCUCAACCGGGGAGGGUCGUCGGGGACGGCGGGACUUGAGGGCGGUAGGGGCCGGUGGAAUCCCUGGUGUAGUGGUGAAAUGCGUAGAGAUCAGGGGGAACACCCGUGGCGAAGGCGGCCGGCUGGGCCGACCCUGACGCUGAGGCGCGAAGGCGUGGGGAGCGAACGGGAUUAGAUACCCCAGUAGUCC